This 675-nucleotide ribosomal RNA is filed under the name Chaenotheca gracilenta. RNAcentral's name for it is "eukaryotic LSU rRNA". The stretch from base 306 to 459 matches the Rfam family "5.8S ribosomal RNA". Lineage: Eukaryota; Fungi; Ascomycota; Coniocybomycetes; Coniocybales; Coniocybaceae. The record is from RNAcentral.
UANUNGGUCNUUUAGAGGAAGUAAAAGUNGUAACAAGGUUUNNGUAGGNUGAGUCCAUNUUANUUGGUCAUUUAGANGAAGUAAAAGUUGUAACAAGGUUUCCUUAGGUGAACCUGCGGAAGGAUCAUUACCGAGUGAGGGUCCGUUUGGGCCCGACCUCCCACCCAUGUAUAUCUGACCACCGUUUGCCUUGGCGGGCCGCGGGGCCUUGCGCCCCUGCCGUCCACCGCGCCGGAGAGCGCCCGCCAGGGGCCCUUUGCACUCUGAUCAUGAUGCCGUCUGAGCAUGAAUAGAAAUUCAAUCAAAACUUUCAACAACGGAUCUCUUGGUUCUGGCAUCGAUGAAGAACGCAGCGAAAUGCGAUAAGUAAUGUGAAUUGCAGAAUUCAGUGAAUCAUCGAAUCUUUGAACGCACAUUGCGCCCCUCGGAAUUCCGGGGGGCACACCUGUUCGAGCGUCACCGACACCCUCAAGCCUGGCUUGAUGUUGGGCCCGUCGCCCCGCUCUUCGGAGGGGGCGAGCCCAAAAUCGCAGAGGCGAGCGCGGCCCGACUCCAAGCGCAGUGACCAACUCUCGCUUCUCGGAGACGGCGCCGCGGCGGCCCAAUCAAUCAAUACAUCCAUGUUUGACCUCGGAUCAGGUGGGGAUACCAUCUGAACUUAAGCAUAUCAAUAAG